This is a long non-coding RNA of Triticum aestivum (bread wheat), 1332 nucleotides long. RefSeq lists it as uncharacterized. The record is from RefSeq and is a predicted model, not a curated record. Lineage: Eukaryota; Viridiplantae; Streptophyta; Magnoliopsida; Poales; Poaceae. The transcript has 5 exons.
ACAGAGGCGAGGCACCACUGCAUCUGGCGUUUGGACGGAAGGAGAGGAAGCAAAGUCUUCUGGUAGAGAUGGGGCGCCGCCCGAAGCUCUCCUCGCCUCCAGCUGCGCCAGAUGGAGCUUCUUCGUCGACCAUGCUGGCUGCCAAGAAGGUGCCUGCACUGAACACGACGUACAAUGCCGGGCUGCUCCAUUCCAUCGCCGGAGAAUGGAAUCCAAACAUCAAAGGUGUGUUCUCCGGCAUAGGCAUGGAAGAAAUCUGCAAGAUAAAGGAUAUGGGGAACAACAACCGUAUCUUUAGCAUGUCCCUCUUAGCUAGGAUCGAUCCCAAAACCAUGAAGAUGGACAUGGGUGAUGGCAAUCACGUUGUGAUAGACUCUAGGGAGGUGGCAAAGUGCAUAGGGUUGAAUCCAUGAGGUAGGAAGAUAGAUAUCCCGGGCGGCGCUUGCUUAGCAGACCGGGAACGCUUGCUAGAGAACUUGCAUGUGAGAUUAGAGACAAACAUGUCUCGCACCUGUAAGAUCCCUGUGGUCAGAGUUAAGAAAAUCAUCCAAAACGCAAGCAAGGUGGCGAUAGUAGGAGCAGAGAGAGAGAGAAGAUGAUGGUGGCAUGUACAAUCAUAGCCGCGUCAUCGUUUCUCCUACCCAGGGGAGCACACCCAAAAAUUGCAAAUGAACUGCUGCCGGUGCUAGCUGAGCCAAACCAAAUCUCCGACUAUGACUUUUGCGAUUAUGUUGUGGAGGGGCUGAGAGAGGGUGCGGCCAAGCUGAGGGAGGAUCUACUGCACGACCCAACUCAGCUCUCUCUGCAGGGCUGCCUUGUUAUCCCACAGAUUAUUUUCUGCGAUUACCAUGAGCACGGGAUGGAGGGGCGAGAGGCGCUGCCGUUCCCUCGUCUAGCAUCGUACUCGGAUUUGAUGAUGAAACUAUAGAUCAAAAAGCAUGCAACAAGGAAUCGUGUGGACGCUGGGUUUGAGGCUGCGGAUGUUCCUAGAUCGCCGGCAUUUAAUGUCGUUUCUGCUAGCCCAGCUCAAGCACAAGGCUGGACCACGCCAAGUUCUAGUGUGCAUGCUGCUCCCCUGGAUUUGGUGUGGCCCAUGAGCAAGUGAUACCUGCAGAGAUUCUUGAUGCGAUGGAGGAGGCAGUGCAUCAUCGACUGAAGCAGCGGGAGGAGGAAUUCCUCAAGAUAGUGGAGGAGACGCAGGGUGUCGGGGAUAUACCCCGCGGCGUAAACCGGCCGGAAGUAUAACCCGGCCGGACUAGUUGUUUCAUUGGUAAACCGCCAGAGGAUUGGCGAUGUAAACCGGCCGGAAGUUAACCCGGCCGGACUUGGCGG